UUGUAAAGGCAUAAAGGUUCAUAUCCGUGCGCUUUAAUUCGGUUACACUAAAAUAUGAUUUAUUACUAAAUAACGUUUUAUACAACUUCAUAAAUUUGUUGUUGGCAACUUUUCUUGUAUACGAGUACUUUGUACUUUAAGUGUUAAGGAGGGUAGGGUUUUCAUUUUUUUGUCAUAAAUUACCAACUUUUUGAAAGUCGGUGACCCUUAUAUCUUCAAAACUGCUACUCUGAUCGUUUUGAAAUUUCGAACACUAUUUCAAUACAUAACUUACAUUGUAACGCUAGAGUUUCAAAUUUGUUAAUAUUUUUCAUUUAACAAUAACAAUAUAACCGAUUUUUUCGCAAAAAAUCGCGUUUUUUCCUCCAGCGUUACCUGAGCAAAGCGAUUAUCUAACGACGUAAUUUAGAUUUUUUGAUGUCAGAUGAUCCAACUCCGAGGUCACCAAAGUUUAACAUUUUUCCGAGACGCUUCAGAGUAAGGGGAUGUUCGGCUAACAAAUAACUGCACCAGAGAACGACAUUAACUAAGUACUCUUAUAACAGUCUCCAAAGCAAAAAAUCAACAUACACCAAAAUAUUUAACUAAUGAUUGAAUAUAUAAGAGAAUCACCAAAAUAUGAAUUAAGAAACAACUGUGAUUUUAGAAUUAAGUAUAAAGCACAAAAGUCGAAUGUUUUAUAUACAUAGGUUUAAGAUUGUAUAUUUUUGUAAAGAGAAGUAGGUUUAUUCAAGGGAAAUGAAUUCUGUUGGUUUAUCUGUACGGAAAGGUGAAGAGAUUCACCUUAAUCCAAAGGAAAUAAAAUCCGUUUAUUAACCUCAAUUUUAUUAAAUAAUCGCCUGAACUGAGUAUGCCAAUAUUAAUCUGAAAGAUCUCUGAUCUUUUCACUCGUACUGAACAAUAUUCAAAACCCUGCUGAUAGCCGAUGCUCUUGCAAUGACCUGAGAACCAUGCGAAUUUCGACUGUAAUAAAGCCCAAUGGGUAUCUUGCAAAGUUAUUGUUGACAGAUUGAGAAGGUGAUACAUUUACUCGUUAACAUACUUUUUUGGGGCAACUGAAGAUAACACAAAAUAUAACAUAGUAAACAAGGAAACUACAAAUUCAAGCUGGAUGGAUUAAUGAUAUGAAAUUCUCCAAGAGUGAAAUUGAAUGAUUUAAGAUAUUUUCCCAAUAAAUAUAGAUUAUUAAAUAUUCUUUCAUUGUCUGCAAAACUUAAUCGUUUGUAAUUCCAAUAGCUUGUAAUAUGUUCAAAUAAGCAAAACUCAUCAUUUAAUUAAAAUAUCUUAAUUAUUACACAAAA
Molecule: non-coding RNA, 1301 nt
Organism: Bactrocera oleae (olive fruit fly)
Lineage: Eukaryota; Metazoa; Arthropoda; Insecta; Diptera; Tephritidae
Source: RefSeq, a predicted model, not a curated record